RNAcentral lists this ribosomal RNA (346 nucleotides) under uncultured fungus. Its description in RNAcentral is "SSU rRNA". It matches the Rfam family "Eukaryotic small subunit ribosomal RNA", at positions 20 to 370 of the family's 1831-position model. Lineage: Eukaryota; Fungi. The record is from RNAcentral.
GUAGUCAUAUGCUUGUCUCAAAGAUUAAGUCAUGCAUGUCUAAGUAUAAGCACUCAUACUGUGAAACUGCGAAUGGCUCAUUAAAUCAGUUAUCGUUUAUUUGAUAGUACCUUACUACUUGGAUACCCGUGGUAAUUCUAGAGCUAAUACAUGCUAAAAACCCCGACUUCGGAAGGGGUGUGUUUAUUAGAUAAAAAACCAAUGCCCUUCGGGGCUACUUGGUGAUUCAUGAUAACCAAACGAAUCGCAUGGCCUUGAGCCGGCGAUGGUUCAUUCAAAUUUCUGCCCUAUCAACUUUCGAUGGUAGGAUCUGGGCCUACCAUGGUAUCAACGGGUAACGGGGAAU